Molecule: ribosomal RNA, 253 nt
Filed under: uncultured bacterium
Lineage: Bacteria
Description: partial 16S ribosomal RNA
Rfam family: Bacterial small subunit ribosomal RNA
Source: RNAcentral
GACAGAGGUGCCAAGCGUUAGGCGGAAUCACUGGGCUUAAAGCGUGUGUAGGCGGCUUUGUAAGUUAGAGGUGAAAGCCCGGGGCUCAACCCCGGAAUUGCCUUUAAGACUGCAUCGCUUGAAUCCAGGAGAGGUGAGUGGAAUUCCGAGUGUAGAGGUGAAAUUCGUAGAUAUUCGGAAGAACACCAGUGGCGAAGGCGGCUCACUGGACUGGUAUUGACGCUGAGGUGCGAAAGCGUGGGGAGCAAACAGG